CCAAACUUGGUCAUUUAGAGGAAGUAAAAGUCGUAACAAGGUUUCCGUAGGUGGGGAUCAUUAAUUUUUUUUUUUGAGCCAUUUUUUUAUGGCUUCAAAAAAAAAAAUCUACACACUCACCCUUUGUGCAACCACUGAGAAAAAGUUAAUCUUUGGGAGAUGAGUUUCUUUUGAUCUCAUCUCCCAAAGGUGUUUGUAUAACUUUUUCUAUUCUUAUAAAACAACUUUCAACAACGGAUCUCUUGGCUCUCGCAUCGAUGAAGAACGCAGC
RNAcentral lists this unclassified non-coding RNA (271 nucleotides) under uncultured fungus. Its description in RNAcentral is "partial contains small subunit ribosomal RNA, internal transcribed spacer 1, and 5.8S ribosomal RNA". The stretch from base 223 to 271 matches the Rfam family "5.8S ribosomal RNA", at positions 1 to 49 of the family's 154-position model. The record is from RNAcentral. Lineage: Eukaryota; Fungi.